Molecule: transfer RNA, 73 nt
Filed under: Triticum aestivum (bread wheat)
Lineage: Eukaryota; Viridiplantae; Streptophyta; Magnoliopsida; Poales; Poaceae
Also listed under: 1 other name
Rfam family: tRNA
About the family: Transfer RNA (tRNA) molecules are approximately 80 nucleotides in length. Their secondary structure includes four short double-helical elements and three loops (D, anti-codon, and T loops).
Source: Rfam by way of RNAcentral
UCCACUACUCAGUUGGUAGAGUACAAAGCUCUUAACCUUAUGUAUGGACAUGGGUUCAAGCCCCAUGGUGGAG